RNAcentral lists this transfer RNA (73 nucleotides) under Octopus sinensis (East Asian common octopus). Its description in RNAcentral is "tRNA-Lys". It matches the Rfam family "tRNA". Rfam says of the family: Transfer RNA (tRNA) molecules are approximately 80 nucleotides in length. Their secondary structure includes four short double-helical elements and three loops (D, anti-codon, and T loops). Further hydrogen bonds mediate the characteristic L-shaped molecular structure. tRNAs have two regions of fundamental functional importance: the anti-codon, which is responsible for specific mRNA codon recognition, and the 3' end, to which the tRNAs corresponding amino acid is attached (by aminoacyl-tRNA synthetases). tRNAs cope with the degeneracy of the genetic code in two manners: having more than one tRNA (with a specific anti-codon) for a particular amino acid; and 'wobble' base-pairing, i.e. permitting non-standard base-pairing at the 3rd anti-codon position. Lineage: Eukaryota; Metazoa; Mollusca; Cephalopoda; Octopoda; Octopodidae. The record is from RNAcentral.
GCCCGCAUAGCUCAGUCGGUAGAGCAUCAGACUUUUAAUCUGAGGGUCGCGGGUUCAAGUCCCUCUGCAGGCG